This 440-nucleotide ribosomal RNA is filed under the name uncultured bacterium. Its description in RNAcentral is "partial 16S ribosomal RNA". It matches the Rfam family "Bacterial small subunit ribosomal RNA", at positions 338 to 795 of the family's 1533-position model. The record is from RNAcentral.
ACUACGGGGAGCUGCAGUGGGGGAUAUUGCACAAUGGGGGGAACCCUGAUGCAGCGACGCCGCGUGGGUGAAGAAGCGCCUCGGCGCGUAAAGCCCUGUCAGCAGGGAAGAAAAUGACGGUAACGGAAGAAGAAGCCCCGGCUAACGCCGUGCCAGCAGCCGCGGUAAUACGGAGGGGGCGAGCGUUAAUCGGAAUUACUGGGCGUAAAGCGCUCGUAGGCGGGCUGGCAAGUCAAGGGAGAAAUCCCCGCGCUCAACGUGGGAUAUGCCUUUGAAACUGGCAAACUUGAGUGUGGGAGAGGAUAGUGUACUUCCAGGUGUAGGGGUGAAAUCCGUAGAUAUCUGGAGGAACAUCAGUGGCGACGGCGACGCUCUGGCACAUAACUGCCGCUGAGGAGCGAAAGCGUGGGUAGCAAACAGGAUUAGAUACCCUGGUAGUC